Sciurus vulgaris (Eurasian red squirrel) is the source of this 107-nucleotide small nuclear RNA. Lineage: Eukaryota; Metazoa; Chordata; Mammalia; Rodentia; Sciuridae. The record is from Ensembl.
GUGCUUGCUUUGGCAGCACAUAUUCUAAAGUUAGAACGAUACAGAGAAGAUUAACAUGACCCAUGCCCAAGGAUGACAUGCAGAUUCGUAAAGUGUUCCAUAGUUUU